Molecule: non-coding RNA, 111 nt
Filed under: Methylobacillus flagellatus
Lineage: Bacteria; Pseudomonadati; Pseudomonadota; Betaproteobacteria; Nitrosomonadales; Methylophilaceae
Also listed under: 1 other name
Description: TPP sequence
Rfam family: TPP riboswitch aptamer (THI element)
About the family: Vitamin B(1) in its active form thiamin pyrophosphate (TPP) is an essential coenzyme that is synthesised by coupling of pyrimidine and thiazole moieties in bacteria. The previously detected thiamin-regulatory element, thi box was extended, resulting in a new, highly conserved RNA secondary structure, the THI element, which is widely distributed in eubacteria and also occurs in some archaea.
Source: RNAcentral
UUCCAUCGCUAGGGGUCUGCUGUUGCACGCUGAGGCAUGCAAUGGCAGUGAGAAUUACCCUUUGAACCUGAUGUGGAUUAUCCCACCGUAGGGAAGCGCAGUUUGGUUUGA